CCUACGGGAGGCAGCAGUAGGGAAUAUUGCUCAAUGGGGGAAACCCUGAAGCAGCAACGCCGCGUGGAGGAUGAAGGUAUUCGGAUCGUAAACUCCUUUUGUUAGAGAAGAUAAUGACGGUAUCUAACGAAUAAGCACCGGCUAACUCCGUGCCAGCAGCCGCGGUAAUACGGAGGGUGCAAGCGUUACUCGGAUUCACUGGGCGUAAAGAGCGCGUAGGCGGGAUGGCAAGUCAGGUGUGAAAUCCUGUGGCUUAACCAUAGAACUGCAUUUGAAACUGUUGUUCUAGAGUAUGGGAGGGGUAGGUGGAAUUCUUGGUGUAGGGGUAAAAUCCGUAGAGAUCAAGAGGAAUA
RNAcentral lists this ribosomal RNA (353 nucleotides) under uncultured bacterium. Its description in RNAcentral is "partial 16S ribosomal RNA". It matches the Rfam family "Bacterial small subunit ribosomal RNA", at positions 338 to 708 of the family's 1533-position model. The record is from RNAcentral.